GCCCCUUCCAGACCGUCACCUGGGCCGGGUCCCGGGGCGACUCGCGUGCGGGCGGCGGCGGCGCCGGGCCGGGAGAGGCGGCGGUGGCUACGGGCGCCUGGUCAUCCGACCUGGUUCGAGGGCGGGCGCCAGCCAGAGCCGCGGCGCGAGAUGCUCGCGGGAGCCGGGACGUCGCGGGCUCCGGGCCGCUUGAAGGAGCAGUCGCCGAGGCUUCGCCGCCGCCGCCGCCGCCGCCGCCGCGCCCGCCCGGACUGCGGGCUCCGGUUACCGCAGCGCGGCUCCUUAAAGGGGCCGCGGCCGCUCGAGCUCCGGCUCGCGUUCGCGGCUCCGACCCUGGCCAAAGUGGGCGGGGCCCACCUCCGGGCGCCGAAUUUAGGUCCGGGGCAGGGCUCGAAACCCCGGCACCCGAAGUGGGCUGCGAUAGGAUCCUGGAAGAUCACACGUCGCCGGGGGCACAGCACGUGGCUCCUGAUCUUUCCAAAGCAAGACACACAACUCGGGAGUGGGGAGAAGUGGCUUGCAAGUGCUUCCCAAACUGGGUAGGAGGUGUGUCCGGUUCAAGCAGCCUCCUCCGGAACCGCUGAAAAACACCCUAAAGGAUGCCCUCCGGAACCCCUCUGCUUUCGGGUGUGGAAGUAGAAUUUGAAUUUUUGAUGCUGGCUGAGAAUAUCAAGUUGCCCCGUGCAUAAAUUUUGCCAUUAAGUAGAUCUUCUGAGGUGUAUAUAGCCUCAAAACUUCCAAGUGUUCUGGAUCAACCAGACAGAACUGGUUGGAAUAAAACAAAAUGAUGAAAUAUAUUUAGGCUGUAAUUUUAUAAUUUGUAAUUGUAAGGAUCUUUUUGAAAAGAGGUACGUUCUAAAAAGAAUUUCUAGGGCCGGGGAUUUAGGUCAGUGGUUUCACCACCCGCUGCACAAGUGCAAGGACCCGAGUUUGAUCCCCGGUAUCAAAAAAAAAAAAAAAUUAAAAAAUUGAAAACGUAGGAAAGUUAUUUAUAAGAAAUAGCUAUCAAGAGAGCUAACAUAUGUGACCAGUAUUUACAUGCAUGCACACACACACACACACACACAUUUAUCUGCUGCAGAUCUAGGCCAGAAAACGUGCACACACACAACAUCACACACCCUAUC
RNAcentral lists this long non-coding RNA (1127 nucleotides) under Heterocephalus glaber (naked mole-rat). Its description in RNAcentral is "lncRNA (ENSHGLG00000033886.1)". The record is from RNAcentral. Lineage: Eukaryota; Metazoa; Chordata; Mammalia; Rodentia; Bathyergidae.